GAUGAACGCUGGCGGCGUGCCUAAUACAUGCAAGUCGAGCGAACAGACGAGGAGCUUGCUCCUCUGACGUUAGCGGCGGACGGGUGAGUAACACGUGGAUAACCUACCUAUAAGACUGGGAUAACUUCGGGAAACCGGAGCUAAUACCGGAUAAUAUAUUGAACCGCAUGGUUCAAUAGUGAAAGACGGUUUUGCUGUCACUUAUAGAUGGAUCCGCGCCGCAUUAGCUAGUUGGUAAGGUAACGGCUUACCAAGGCAACGAUGCGUAGCCGACCUGAGAGGGGGAACGCCCCCACUGAAACGGAAACCCGUCCCAGACCCCUCCGGAAGGCGGAAGUGGGAAUUCUUCAGAAAGGGGAGAAGCCGUGAGGGACCAACGCGGAGUGAGUGAUAAGGUUCUUGGAAUCUUAAACCUUUGUUAUUGGAAAAGAAAAAUUGUUUAAUUAACUAGCCACGUCUGAACGAUACCUAAUAAAAAAGCCAGGCCUAGCUACGUC
This 497-nucleotide ribosomal RNA is filed under the name uncultured bacterium. RNAcentral describes it as "partial 16S ribosomal RNA". It matches the Rfam family "Bacterial small subunit ribosomal RNA", at positions 28 to 507 of the family's 1533-position model. The record is from RNAcentral.